GCUUCACCACCAUGUUCAAGGGGCUGAGCAAAGGCUCCCAGGGGAAGGGGUCCCCCAAGGGCUCCCCAGCCAAGGGGUCCCCCAAGGGCUCCCCCAACAAGCACAACCGGGCUGCAACCCAGGAACUGGCCCUGCUCAUCUCUCGAAUGCAAGCCAACGCUGACCAGGUGGAAAGGGACAUUUUGGAGACUCAGAAGAGAUUGCAACAAGACCGGCAGAAUGGUGAGCAGAACCAGGCUUUGCAGCACCAGCAGGAGACCGGCCGCAACCUGAAGGAGGCUGAGGGGCUGCUUAAGGACCUUUUCCUGGAUGUAGACAAGGCCCGUCGGCUCAAGCACCCUCAGGCUGAGGAGAUUGAGAAGGAGUAAGUGAGCUGGGGCUCACAGUGGAAGGCCG
RNAcentral lists this long non-coding RNA (396 nucleotides) under Cricetulus griseus (Chinese hamster). Its description in RNAcentral is "lncRNA (ENSCGRG00000026220.1)". Lineage: Eukaryota; Metazoa; Chordata; Mammalia; Rodentia; Cricetidae. The record is from RNAcentral.